RNAcentral lists this ribosomal RNA (429 nucleotides) under uncultured bacterium. Its description in RNAcentral is "bacterial SSU rRNA". It matches the Rfam family "Bacterial small subunit ribosomal RNA", at positions 355 to 776 of the family's 1533-position model. The record is from RNAcentral.
UGGGGAAUUUUGGACAAUGGGCGCAAGCCUGAUCCAGCAAUGCCGCGUGAGUGAAGAAGGCCUUCGGGUUGUAAAGCUCUUUUGUCAGGGAAGAAACGGCCUCAGCUAAUAUCUGGGGCUAAUGACGGUACCUGAAGAAUAAGCACCGGCUAACUACGUGCCAGCAGCCGCGGUAAUACGUAGGGUGCAAGCGUUAAUCGGAAUUACUGGGCGUAAAGCGUGCGCAGGCGGUUUUGUAAGUCUGUCGUGAAAGCCCCGGGCUCAACCUGGGAAUUGCGAUGGAGACUGCAAGGCUUGAAUCUGGCAGAGGGGGGUAGAAUUCCACGUGUAGCAGUGAAAUGCGUAGAGAUGUGGAGGAACACCGAUGGCGAAGGCAGCCCCCUGGGUCAAGAUUGACGCUCAUGCACGAAAGCGUGGGGAGCAAACAGG